This 680-nucleotide ribosomal RNA is filed under the name uncultured Flavobacteriales bacterium. Its description in RNAcentral is "bacterial SSU rRNA". It matches the Rfam family "Bacterial small subunit ribosomal RNA", at positions 73 to 753 of the family's 1533-position model. Lineage: Bacteria; Pseudomonadati; Bacteroidota; Flavobacteriia; Flavobacteriales. The record is from RNAcentral.
UAUGUCUUCGGAUAUAGAGACCGGCGCACGGGUGCGUAACGCGUAUGCAAUCUACCUUUUACAGAGGGAUAGCCCAGAGAAAUUUGGAUUAAUACCUCAUAGUAUAGCUCUACCGCAUGGUAGUACUAUUAAAGUCACAACGGUAAAAGAUGAGCAUGCGUCCCAUUAGCUAGUUGGUAAGGUAACGGCUUACCAAGGCAACGAUGGGUAGGGGUCCUGAGAGGGAGAUCCCCCACACUGGUACUGAGACACGGACCAGACUCCUACGGGAGGCAGCAGUGAGGAAUAUUGGACAAUGGGCGCAAGCCUGAUCCAGCCAUGCCGCGUGCAGGAUGACGGUCCUAUGGAUUGUAAACUGCUUUUGUACGAGAAGAAACACUGCUUCGUGAAGCAGCUUGACGGUAUCGUAAGAAUAAGGAUCGGCUAACUCCGUGCCAGCAGCCGCGGUAAUACGGAGGAUCCAAGCGUUAUCCGGAAUCAUUGGGUUUAAAGGGUCCGUAGGCGGUUUAGUAAGUCAGUGGUGAAAGCCCAUCGCUCAACGGUGGAACGGCCAUUGAUACUGCUGAACUUGAAUUAUUAGGAAGUAACUAGAAUAUGUAGUGUAGCGGUGAAAUGCUUAGAGAUUACAUGGAAUACCAAUUGCGAAGGCAGGUUACUACUAAUUGAUUGACGCUGAUGGA